RNAcentral lists this ribosomal RNA (468 nucleotides) under uncultured bacterium. Its description in RNAcentral is "partial 16S ribosomal RNA". It matches the Rfam family "Bacterial small subunit ribosomal RNA", at positions 28 to 507 of the family's 1533-position model. The record is from RNAcentral.
GACGAACGCUGGCGGCGUGCUUAACACAUGCAAGUCGAACGAAAAGGCCCUGCUUUUGUGGGUUGCUCGAUUGGCGAACGGGUGAGUAACACGUGAGUAACCCGCCCUUGUCUUUGUGAUAACUUUAGGAAACUGGGGCUCAUACCGCGUAUGAGCUCCUGCUGCAUGUUGGUGGUUGGAAAGUUUCGGCGGUUGGGGAUGGAUUCGCUGCUUAUCAGCUGGUUGGUCGGGUAGUGGCUUACCACGGCUUUGACGGGUAGCCGGCCUGAGAGGGUGAACGGCGACAUUGGGACUGAGAUACGGACCAGACUGCAACGUGAGGCAGCGGUGGAGAAUCUUGCACAAUGGGCGGAAGCCUGAUGCAGCAACGCCGCGUGCGGGAUGACGGCCUUCGGGUUGUAAACCGAUUUCGCCUGUGACGAAGCGUGAGUGACGGUAAUGGGUAAAGAAGCAACGGCUAACUACGUG